GAUGAACGCUGGCGGCGUGCUUAACACAUGCAAGUCGAACGAAGAUGCCGGAGUGCUUGCACUUUGGCAGACUGAGUGGCGGACGGGUGAGUAACGCGUGGGUAACCUGCCUUAUACAGGGGGAUAACAGUUGGAAACGACUGCUAAUACCGCAUAAGCGCACGGUAUCGCAUGAUACAGUGUGAAAAACUCCGGUGGUAUAAGAUGGACCCGCGUCUGAUUAGCUUGUUGGUGAGGUAACGGCCCACCAAGGCGACGAUCAGUAGCCGGCCUGAGAGGGUGAACGGCCACAUUGGGACUGAGACACGGCCCAAACUCCUACGGGAGGCAGCAGUGGGGAAUAUUGCACAAUGGGGGAAACCCUGAUCCGNAGCGACGCCGCGUGAGUGAUAGAAGUAUUUCGGUAUAGUAAACUCUAUCAG
Molecule: ribosomal RNA, 422 nt
Filed under: uncultured bacterium
Lineage: Bacteria
Description: bacterial SSU rRNA
Rfam family: Bacterial small subunit ribosomal RNA
Source: RNAcentral